GACGAACGCUGGCGGCGUGCUUAACACAUGCAAGUCGAACGGAAAGGCCCUGCUUUUGUGGGGUGCUCGAGUGGCGAAAGGGUGAGUAACACGCGAGUAACCUGCCCUUGACUUUGGGAUAACUUCAGGAAACUGGGGCUAAUACCGGAGAGGAGCUCCUGCUGCAUGGGGGGGGUUGGAAAGUUUCGGCGGUUGGGGAUGGACUCGCGGCUUAUCAGCUUGUUGGUGGGGUAGUGGCUUACCAAGGCUUUGACGGGUAGCCGGCCUGAGAGGGUGACCGGCCUCAUUGGGACUGAGAUACGGCCCAGACUCCUACGGGAGGCAACAGUGGGGAAUAUUGCACAAUGGGCGGAAGCCUGAUGCAGCAACGCCGCGUGCGGGAUGACGGCCUUCGGGUUGUACACCGCUUUCGCCUGUGCCGAAGCGUGAGUGACGGUAAUGGGUAAAGAAGCACCGGCUAACUACGUG
This 468-nucleotide ribosomal RNA is filed under the name uncultured bacterium. Its description in RNAcentral is "partial 16S ribosomal RNA". It matches the Rfam family "Bacterial small subunit ribosomal RNA", at positions 28 to 507 of the family's 1533-position model. The record is from RNAcentral.